CCUACGGGAGGCAGCAGUGGGGAAUCUUGGACAAUGGGCGAAAGCCUGAUCCAGCGACGCCGCGUGGGGGAUGAAGCCCUUCGGGGUGUAAACCCCUGUUGCGAGGGAGGAAUAAGGCCUGGAGGAAAUGCCAGGCCGAUGACUGUACCUCGCGAGGAAGCCCCGGCUAACUACGUGCCAGCAGCCGCGGUAAUACGUAGGGGGCGAGCGUUACCCGGAUUCACUGGGCGUAAAGCGGGUGUGGGCGGCUCGGUAAGUCGGGUGUGAAAUCCCACAGCUCAACUGUGGAAUUGCGCCCGAAACUGCUGAGCUUGGGGCCGGUAGAGGGAGACGGAACUGCCGGUGUAGGGGUGAAAUCCGUAGAUAUCGGCAGGAACGCCGGUGGGGAAGCCGGUCUCCUGGGCCGCGCCCGACGCUGAGACCCGAAAGCUAGGGGAGCAAACC
RNAcentral lists this ribosomal RNA (444 nucleotides) under uncultured Thermotoga sp. RNAcentral describes it as "bacterial SSU rRNA". It matches the Rfam family "Bacterial small subunit ribosomal RNA", at positions 338 to 774 of the family's 1533-position model. Lineage: Bacteria; Thermotogati; Thermotogota; Thermotogae; Thermotogales; Thermotogaceae. The record is from RNAcentral.